AACGCACCUUGCACCCUUUGGUAUUCCGAAGGGUACACCCGUUUGAGUGUCAUUGUAUUCUCACCACUUCUCCUUUUUCGGUGGAAGGCGGUGGACUUGGACGCUUGCCGUAGCGAUACGGCUCGUCUUAAAUGCAGGAGUGUGACCCCCCUUUGUCGGUGUCAUCUGGUGUGAUAAGUAUCUUCACCGGAGUAUCUUGGAGGGACUGUGUCCUUUCGAGAGCAUCGUUGGGGUGGGCUGAUGCUGCCAACCGUCGCAAGACAAUCUUUGACAAUUUGACCUCAGAUCGGGUGGGACUACCCGCUGAACUUAA
This 313-nucleotide unclassified non-coding RNA is filed under the name uncultured fungus. RNAcentral describes it as "sequence contains ITS2". The record is from RNAcentral. Lineage: Eukaryota; Fungi.